This 253-nucleotide ribosomal RNA is filed under the name uncultured bacterium. RNAcentral describes it as "partial 16S ribosomal RNA". It matches the Rfam family "Bacterial small subunit ribosomal RNA", at positions 524 to 776 of the family's 1533-position model. The record is from RNAcentral.
UACGGGGGGGGCAAGCGUUGUUCGGAAUUACUGGGCGUAAAGGGCUCGUAGGCGGCCAACUAAGUCGGACGUGAAAUCCCUCAGCUUAACUGGGGAACUGCGUCCGAUACUGGAUGGCUUGGAUUCGGGAGAGGGAUGCGGAAUUCCAGGUGUAGCGGUGAAAUGCGUAGAUAUCGGGAGGAACACCAGUGGCGAAGGCGGCCACCUGGACGGACACUGACGCUGAGACGCGAAAGCGUGGGUAGCAAACAGG